This 354-nucleotide unclassified non-coding RNA is filed under the name soil metagenome. RNAcentral describes it as "partial contains 5.8S ribosomal RNA, internal transcribed spacer 2, and large subunit ribosomal RNA". The stretch from base 1 to 120 matches the Rfam family "5.8S ribosomal RNA", at positions 35 to 154 of the family's 154-position model. The record is from RNAcentral.
GAUGAAGAACGUAGUGAAAUGCGAUAAGUAAUGUGAAUUGCAGAAUUCAGUGAAUCAUCGAAUCUUUGAACGCACAUUGCGCCCAUUAGUAUUCUAGUGGGCAUGCCUGUUCGAGCGUCAUUAAGUCCACUUAAGCCCUGCUUAGUGUUGGGAGACUGCUCCAGCGGUGCUACCCUGUAGCUACCCUGCAGCUCCUCAAAGACAGCGGCGGAGUUGUGGUAUCCUCUGAGCUUAGUAACUUGUUCUAGCUUUCGAGUACACCACUUCCCCUGCCGUAAAACCCUUAAUUUUUAAUGGUUGACCUCGGAUCAGGUAGGAAUACCCGCUGAACUUAAGCAUAUCAAUAAGCGAGGA